Molecule: ribosomal RNA, 253 nt
Filed under: uncultured bacterium
Lineage: Bacteria
Description: partial 16S ribosomal RNA
Rfam family: Bacterial small subunit ribosomal RNA
Source: RNAcentral
UACGUAGGGUGCAAGCGUUAAUCGGAAUUACUGGGCGUAAAGGGUGCGCAGGCGGUAUUGUAAGCCAGAUGUGAAAUCCCCGGGCUCAACCUGGGAACUGCGUUUGGAACUGCAAUGCUAGAGUGUGUCAGAGGGGGGUGGAAUUCCACGUGUAGCAGUGAAAUGCGUAGAGAUGUGGAGGAACACCGAUGGCGAAGGCAGCCCCCUGGGAUAACACUGACGAUCAGGCACGAAAGCGUGGGGAGCAAACAGG